GAUGAACGCUGGCGGCGUGCCUAAUACAUGCAAGUCGAGCGAACGGACGAGAAGCUUGCUUCUCUGAUGUUAGCGGCGGACGGGUGAGUAACACGUGGAUAACCUACCUAUAAGACUGGGAUAACUUCGGGAAACCGGAGCUAAUACCGGAUAAUAUUUUGAACCGCAUGGUUCAAAAGUGAAAGACGGUCUUGCUGUCACUUAUAGAUGGAUCCGCGCUGCAUUAGCUAGUUGGUAAGGUAACGGCUUACCAAGGCAACGAUGCAUAGCCGACCUGAGAGGGUGAUCGGCCACACUGGAACUGAGACACGGUCCAGACUCCUACGGGAGGCAGCAGUAGGGAAUCUUCCGCAAUGGGCGAAAGCCUGACGGAGCAACGCCGCGUGAGUGAUGAAGGUCUUCGGAUCGUAAAACUCUGUUAUUAGGGAAGAACAUAUGUGUAAGUAACUGUGCACAUCUUGACGGUACCUAAUCAGAAAGCCACGGCUAACUACGUGCCAGCAGCCGCGGUAAUACGUAGGUGGCAAGCGUUAUCCGGAAUUAUUGGGCGUAAAGCGCGCGUAGGCGGUUUUUUAAGUCUGAUGUGAAAGCCCACGGCUCAACCGUGGAGGGUCAUUGGAAACUGGAAAACUUGAGUGCAGAAGAGGAAAGUGGAAUUCCAUGUGUAGCGGUGAAAUGCGCAGAGAUAUGGAGGAACACCAGUGGCGAAGGCGACUUUCUGGUCUGUAACUGACGCUGAUGUGCGAAAGCGUGGGGAUCAAACAGGAUUAGAUACCCUGGUAGUCCACGCCGUAAACGAUGAGUGCUAAGUGUUAGGGGGUUUCCGCCCCUUAGUGCUGCAGCUAACGCAUUAAGCACUCCGCCUGGGGAGUACGACCGCAAGGUUGAAACUCAAAGGAAUUGACGGGGACCCGCACAAGCGGUGGAGCAUGUGGUUUAAUUCGAAGCAACGCGAAGAACCUUACCAAAUCUUGACAUCCUUUGACAACUCUAGAGAUAGAGCCUUCCCCUUCGGGGGACAAAGUGACAGGUGGUGCAUGGUUGUCGUCAGCUCGUGUCGUGAGAUGUUGGGUUAAGUCCCGCAACGAGCGCAACCCUUAAGCUUAGUUGCCAUCAUUAAGUUGGGCACUCUAAGUUGACUGCCGGUGACAAACCGGAGGAAGGUGAGGAUGACGUCAAAUCAUCAUGCCCCUUAUGAUUUGGGCUACACACGUGCUACAAUGGACAAUACAAAGGGCAGCGAAACCGCGAGGUCAAGCAAAUCCCAUAAAGUUGUUCUCAGUUCGGAUUGUAGUCUGCAACUCGACUACAUGAAGCUGGAAUCGCUAGUAAUCGUAGAUCAGCAUGCUACGGUGAAUACGUUCCCGGGUCU
RNAcentral lists this ribosomal RNA (1372 nucleotides) under uncultured bacterium. RNAcentral describes it as "bacterial SSU rRNA". It matches the Rfam family "Bacterial small subunit ribosomal RNA", at positions 28 to 1381 of the family's 1533-position model. The record is from RNAcentral.